ACUAGUGUGAUAUAGUGGUUUGUGUAUUAGAUUAAGACUCUAGAGACCAGGGUUUGAAUCCCUGUUCAGCC
Phrynosoma platyrhinos (Desert horned lizard) is the source of this 71-nucleotide non-coding RNA. The record is from the annotation of a GenBank genome assembly. Lineage: Eukaryota; Metazoa; Chordata; Lepidosauria; Squamata; Phrynosomatidae.